UUAAGAAUUUUUCAAUUAGAGAUCAAGAAGUUAGGGUAUGUUUCAAGAAAUAAAAGGGUUUGAAGAAACAAUGGACACAGAUCUAUGAGCUUCUUGUUUAAAAACUGAAGAAAAUGAUGAUGAAUUCUGCACUUCGGAUACUUUUGGAGUUAAAUAAUACAGUUUUCAAGUAAUUAUAGCAUAGCCUCUUCAGUAUUCUUUGGCAUAAGAUUAUAGCCUUGUCUGGGCUUAUUACAAAUCCUGUUUCCUUAGUAGGAUUGUUAGAGCAGUUACAAGUAUAAAUCAUUUUUUUUUU
Molecule: long non-coding RNA, 295 nt
Filed under: Bos taurus (domestic cattle)
Lineage: Eukaryota; Metazoa; Chordata; Mammalia; Artiodactyla; Bovidae
Description: long non-coding RNA NONBTAT019284
Source: RNAcentral